CAUCCGUUGGCCAUUUUGAACCGUACAUGGCUGACCAGACAGAGGAAGGAUCUGGCAUUCUGGGCGGGAGUUUAAACAGAUUUCAAGUUCUAAAGACCUGAUAUCUCCUUGCCUCAUCUUGGUUGGACAUACACUACAGUUUGAAUUUCCAUCAUACAUGUACAAGGAAAUAGUGAUGCUUAUGCACCACCACAGUUGAACAGGAUUAGCAAGUGUUGGAGAAAUUGGAGCACUGCUGUUACUCACAUGUUAUGCUGCAUGAGAAAAUAGAGCUCCUUCUUUGUCCAAAGGCCAAGGAGUUGGAUCCUGAAGAACCACAACCUCACAUCCACAUUGAAUACAAUGGGAGAAUUGAAGAUGUUUUGGCUGCAACUGGGAGAGUGAAGGAGUUUGCAAUCGUGGCUGAAGGAGAAGUAGUUGCUCAGACAAGUGACGUCUUCAAGGCUGUGUGCAUUGUGAUGGCAGUACACUAUGUGUUCAAUAUGAGUUACCACCCAAAGCUGAAUGCCUCAUUGAUAUUCAUCCAGAAAGUGAUCAUGAAUAUGAAGGAUAGUAGCCCAAACCCAAAGAAGGUUAUCAAAGUUUUGUUUCAGGUGAACUCCAAAUUAAAUGCUGCAGUUUAGCCAGUGAGAGAGUAACAUAAUGGUCAAACCUUUAAAGACCGUAUCGGAAGCGAAAAAUGAAACUGACAAAUUAUACCCCAAUGGAAAGCUUAUAAGCUACAGAAUACCACAAUGCAAGUUUCAUGCAUUUUCACCACUUACCAGCAGAGUAUUUGCUAUAGAAACGCUCAAAUUUGAGAUCUUCGAAAAUCGGCAUUAUUGCUCUCCGUACGGGCCUGAAUUCUCUGACGUCACGUUAUGAGAACGAAGUUGUGAUUACAUGUGUUUGCAUGUAGAAAAGUUUUAUUAUUUUUUUGUUUUCCAGAUUACAAAUUCGAAUUUUUUAAACAAUUUGCACAGGAAAAUAACGAAAGUAUUUCGUGCUUAAAUGGAUGAAACCUACAGCUGUAGACCAUAUUUUUUUUCUCAUUUCUUUGUUUUCCUCAUAUUUGGCUAUGAUUGCUAUGUCAGGCAGAACUUGCACAUAAUCUGAAUGCAGAUACAGAUGAAUAGCUACACUAAAUAAGUGGCAAAGGAAUGACCAAAAUAUGGUCUAGAGCUGUAGAUUUCAUCAAUCUAACAGGAAAUACUUUCAAUGUUAUUUUCGUGUGAAGAUCGUUACAAAAAUUUUGAAUUCGUAAUCUGGAAAACUAAAAAUUAUCGAUUUUUUCUACGUGCAAACGUAUGUAAUCACAACUCCAUUCUCAUAACAUGAUGUCAGAGAAUUCAGGCCUGUAGGGAGAGCAAUAAAACUCAUUUCAAAGAUCUCAAAGUCAAGUGUUUCUCAAGCAAAUACUCUGCUGGUAAGUGGUGAAAAAUGCAUGAAACUUGCAUUAUUGUAUUCUACUUCUUCUUAUCUUUCCACUGAUGCAUAGUUAUUUUGGCUUCCGAGAUGGUCUUUAACCUACACAAGUUGAUAGAAUGCUAUAGAUUGAUUUACACAAACGAUAUAUAAAUGUGCCUAUUAAAGAUCUAAUUUGUUUUUAAGUGUUGAUCUACAAGAUUUUGCACAGAAGUAUUUGAAAGGGGAAUAAAGAAAUAUAUUAUUGUGAAAAUAUGUGGUAUCCCUGUACUAGUGGGGCUGCCAUUUUGUUGAUAAUGUGAAGUAUUGCCGUACUUCUACCUUCAAUACAUGUAUCAUUUGGAAACGUUUUAGUCAUAAAGAUAUUUUAAAGCAAUGAAUAAAUUGAAGAUUUUUGAUAACAUAAAAUAUUUGUUAUUAAAAUUUGAAUUUACUGAAAAUAUAUUUUCAUUUGAGUUGAAAAUGAAAUAAAAAAUAUUUUUCUUCUCUUGGAAUAGUCUAAUUUCAAAUGAAAUAGUGCUUGCAUGGCAAAACAGAAACUAAUGUAUGCCAACUGCAUUCUGACUAUUGAAGUACAAAUGCCUUUAAGUAGAUGAGUGCAAUAGUUAGCACUACUGAAGCCGAGGGAAGAAGCAUCCAUAAAUUUGAAUACAUUUGGAGUCUGGCAGUACGUCACAUUAUCAACAAAAUGGCAGCUCCCAUUUAGUACAGGGAUAACACAUAUUUUGACAAGAAUAUCUUUAGUAUUUCCCUUUCAAUUACUUCUGUGCGAAGUCUCGUAGACCAACACAUACAAACAAAUUUAUCUUUAAGAAUUGGCAGUUGUAUUUUGGGUUGGAUUUCCCUUUAAUGUAACAUGUUGCGAUAUCUUGGUCAUGUAUUUCAGAGCCCCUUCAAGAAUGGGAGCCAGACUAUGCUCAGGUUUGCACAACUUCAAAAAUACAGAAGUAUAAGCCUGUUUUAGGGCAUUUGUUCUAGCCCCAGUAACAAUGACAGUCGCUCCCGUUUCUUUUUCUAACCCUGUAAUUAGGCUGUGAAUGACAUUUUACAAGCACUCUAAUCUUUCUUCAGAGUCGUUCUAAAUCCAUCCACCAGCUGCAGGCACAGUAAUCAUAACAUUAGAAAUCAGUCUUAGAAUGUUCCCAGAAGGUCCUACCCCUAACUGACCAAAAAUGUAGCAUCUUGAGGAUGUGCAGGACCCGAGUAAUCCAUAUCUGAGCAAAAGAUUUUAAUUUUUUUGACUUCUGGGCUCUGCUGAGCUGGAUAUAGCAUCAAGUCACAUUGCAUCAUGAUUUACCUACGAAGUAUGAACAUGUUUUUAAGUGUGUAUAUAAUUACUACAAUGUUGAUCUUUCUAAUUAGACUUUGAAUUUCGAUGGUUAAAGGUUAGACCUUUCUUUGAGCAUUUUACUUUGAGCAUUGUAAAUACAUUUUGAAGGCCAGAUGCCAGUUUAAAGGUUCUACAGAUUUUCCAAAUUGGUCCGUUAUUGCUUGAAAUGUAGAUGGUUAGGUCAAAACCAGCAUGAAUUUUCUCAAUAUUUUUCCAAAUUUGCUGUAAGCAGUGGUUUGCUUGUGCUUGAAAUGUAAAUGAUUAGGUCAGAUGCACUGGUAUGAAUUUCCUUUAGAUUUUCCACAUUUGCUAAGCACUGUCCUGAUGCUUGUUAGCACUUGAAAUGCAAAUGGUUAGGUCAGAUGCCUGUAUGAAUUUUGAAGAUUUGCUACAGACUGGCCUGGUAGUGCUUCAAAUUCAAUUGGUCAAUGAAUUUUAAAUUGUUAAGGAGUAUACCUAGUUAAUUGAUGCUUGUUACUGUAAGGGUGAUAUAUCAUUGGUUUGACAUACUUCUGUCUUGGCUAAAAAUAAGGGGGGGGGGGGGAAGAAGCCAUCUGUGAUACUGAUUUUGAUAGUAAAUAUGAUAAUGAUGCUAGCAAUAUUUUAGUCAAUAUUUCAAGCUUUGUAAAAUUACACUUGGAAAAUAAUAGCUCUGAUGAACAUAAUUGCAACUUCCAAUUUUGGGGACACUGAAGUUAAAGGUUUAUUAAGCAAUAUUUUGAAAUGAUUUGUCUUCAAAUUCACGGGCCUGAAUUAUCUGACAUUAUGCUAUGAAAUGGAGUUGUGAUUACAUGCAUUUGCACAUCUAUAGAAAAAAAAAUCGAUAAAAAAAAAAAAAAAAAUCCAGAUUACGGAUUCGAAUUUUUUAACGAUUUUCACAUGAAAAUAACAUUGAAAGUAUUUCCUGCUUGAAUUGAUGAAACCUACAGCUCUAGACCAUAUUUGUUGUCAUUUCUUUUUUUGCUGCUUAUUUGGUGCAGCUAUUUAUCUGUACUAGUAUCUGCAUUCAGAUUGUGUGCAACAGUUUUGCCUGGCAAAGCAGUCAUAGCCAAAUAAGAAGCAAACAAAGAAAUGACAAAAAAUAUGGUCUGCAGCUGUAGGUUUCAUCCAUUUAAGCACGAAAUACUUUCAAUGUUAUUUUCCUUUGAAAGUGGUUAGAAAAAUUUGAAUUCGUAAUCUGGAAAACAAAAAAAAAUAAUUGAACUUUCUACAAGCAAACAGAUGUAAUCACAAGCCCGCUCUCAUAGCGUGACGUCAUAGAUAUCAGGCCCUUGAGGACAGCAAUAAAGCUCAUUUUUGAAGCUCUUGAAUUUGAGUGUUUCUAUAGCAAAUACUGUGCUGGCAAGCUCUGCUGGCAAGCGGUGAAAAUGCAUGAAACUUGCAUUGUGGUAUUCUGUAGCUUAUAGGCUUUCCAUUGGUGUAUAAUUUGUCAAUUUCAUUUUUCGCUUCCGAUAUGGUCUUUAAGUUAAACAUGUUCAAAUUCAUCAAAAUGAAUAAUAUUUACUUGAAUAUCAGAUGGAAGAGUGUUUCAUUCUAAAGCACCUCUAUAUUGGAGUGUGCAUCUACCACAAUUGUUUUUUCCAAGAAGGAAGAACAAGAGAAUUAAAAGAUUGACUGAAAAUUUUUCCACUACCUGCAUUAUUAUGCAAACUUAUUUGAGACAUGUAUACCUAAACAAUGGAUUUUGAUUAUGCUUCUGUUCUCUGUACAUAUACUUCUCAGAGAAAAUUGAAUAAGCUAAUAAGUUUAUUGGUCUGUUUUUUUUU
Lytechinus pictus (painted urchin) is the source of this 4500-nucleotide long non-coding RNA. RefSeq lists it as uncharacterized. NCBI's taxonomy places the organism in Eukaryota, Metazoa, Echinodermata, Echinoidea, Temnopleuroida, Toxopneustidae. The transcript has 4 exons. The record is from RefSeq and is a predicted model, not a curated record.